RNAcentral lists this unclassified non-coding RNA (336 nucleotides) under soil metagenome. RNAcentral describes it as "partial contains 5.8S ribosomal RNA, internal transcribed spacer 2, and large subunit ribosomal RNA". The stretch from base 1 to 120 matches the Rfam family "5.8S ribosomal RNA", at positions 35 to 154 of the family's 154-position model. The record is from RNAcentral.
GAUGAAGAACGUAGUGAAAUGCGAUAAGUAAUGUGAAUUGCAGAAUUCCGUGAAUCAUCGAAUCUUUGAACGCACAUUGCGCCCCCUGGUAUUCCGGGGGGCAUGCCUGUCCGAGCGUCAUUGCAACCUUCAAGCGCGGCUUGUGUGUUGGGUCUCGUCCCCCGUGGACGGGCCCGAAAGGCAGUGGCGGCGUCCCGACAUGGUGCCCGAGCGUAUGGGAAUCCUCUUCCGCUCGAAUCGGCCCAUGCGGCGCUGGUCAUAACCAAAUUUUUUACCGGUUGACCUCGGAUCAGGUAGGGAUACCCGCUGAACUUAAGCAUAUCAAUAAGCGGAGGA